This 406-nucleotide ribosomal RNA is filed under the name uncultured bacterium. RNAcentral describes it as "partial 16S ribosomal RNA". It matches the Rfam family "Bacterial small subunit ribosomal RNA", at positions 30 to 526 of the family's 1533-position model. The record is from RNAcentral.
AUUGAACGCUGGCGGCAGGCCUAACACAUGCAAGUCGAACGAGUGGCGGACGGUUGAGUAAUGUCUGGGAAACUGCACGAUGGCUGGGGAUAACUACUGGAAACGGUAGCUAAUACCGCAUACCAUCGGAUGUGCCCCGAUGGGAUUAGCUAGUAGGUGGGGUAACGCCACACCUAGGCUACGCUCCCUAGCUGGUCUGAGAGGAUGACCAGCCACACUGGAAAGGAGACACGGUCCAGACUCAUACGGGAGGCAGCAGUGGGGAAUAUUGCACAAUGGGCGAAAGCCUGAUGCAGCCAUGCCGCGUGUAUGAAGAAGGCCUUCGGGUUGUAAAGUACUUUCAGCGGGGAGGCGUUACUCACAGAAGAAGCACCGGCUAACUCCGUGCCAGCAGCCGCGGUAAUUC